RNAcentral lists this long non-coding RNA (3448 nucleotides) under Sus scrofa (pig). Its description in RNAcentral is "lncRNA (ENSSSCG00005028127.1)". Lineage: Eukaryota; Metazoa; Chordata; Mammalia; Artiodactyla; Suidae. The record is from RNAcentral.
CAUAUGGAGGUUCCCAGGCUAGGGGUCGAAUCGGAGCUACAGCUUCCAGCCUGCACCACAGCUCAUGGCAAUGCCAGAUCCUUAACCCACUGAGCGAGGCCUGGGCUCAAACCUGCAACCUCUUGGUUCCUAGUUGGAUUGUUUCUGCUGCGCCACAAUGGGAACUCCUAGUCGAUCUGUUUUAAUUGGACCCAAACAAGAUCUAAAUAUUACAUUUGAUAAUUAUGUCUCAUAAAGCUCUUAUGUUUCAGAAUGGUAACUCCUUAUUGCUAAAGUAUAAUUUUCAAAAGUUAAAAAUCAUGAUCCAUGCAAACACAAAAUAAACAGUUCUGGGCCCUACUGGUUCGUUUUUGCUGCAUGUCUUGAAGGCAGUCAUCUCAGCAAGGACCACUAGUCAUGUUGUUUGGAAGGGUGUUUUGAGACCCACCAGGAGCGCUUGGGAGUUCUCCUCUUCUGACGUAGCGAUGGAUCAUCAGUGAGCUGCCCGGUCACCUCGCGACCAGGGUCAGCGGCCUGGUCACCUUGCCACCAGGGUCUGUGUUUCGGUAGUGUCUGGGCAUGAAGCUGGACACCUUCAGGCCCGAGAGCCUUCUCAUGUCCUUGUAUUCUAACCGUUGAGCUAGUUAAUAGUUAACAGACGUAGGACAGGUGUGUAUCAUUGGUACCCGUCUCUAGAACAGUCAAACGCAAGGAAGUUUCUAGACCCCUGAUUAUAAAAUUUGAUUAGUAAGUAAAGACAACGACUUGUUUUUCUUUUCCUUAGCAUUUUGGUAAGUUAACUUCACAAAAGCAGAACCUAAGUUUUUUCCCUCUUAUUUUUCAGGUGAAGAGAUUAUAAAUCUUCUAUUGAGUGAAAAUAUUUUUCUUAAGGUUGCAUAUACGCCAAGAAAAAAUCCCAAAUGUUUUUAUAUUUUGCCUAAAUACAAAGUUUAAACAAGAAGUUUCCACGGAAGAGAUGGAUGACAGCAAAAAAUUUCAGUUUGAAGAUGUGCAUAGAGUUUCCUGACUUGUGGGUUUUGUUUUCUUUCCUUUUUUGGUUAUACUGGCAGCCUAUGAAAGUUCCCAGGCCAGGGAUGGAAUACGAGCCGCAUCUGCAACCUGGGCCACAGCUGCUCCACGGUGGGAAUGCCACUCCUGGGGUUUUUUUGACCCUCCUGUGUCUGGUUUUGAGAUGCCGUGUUGCGAAAAAGUGCCUUGGUCCCUCCAAGCCCAAGUGUAAUCCAGAUAAAAACGGGUGCAUUGGGCGUGUGUAGAGAGGCCCAUGCCCUGCCUUACCUGUGGGAAGGCCUCCACCUGCCAGGUGGGAUGGGGGGACUUGUGCUCCUGCAGCGGUAGGUGCUCCUGAAAGGCCUCCCAUUGCCGUCCACUGAGAGGCUGGGUAAAUGACAGAUGCGCGACCUCUUGUGAGUGCCCUGGCGCAAGCUAACUGCUCAGAGGCCGAGAGGACAAGAAGAGAUAGCACCCUUUCGCUCCUUGCUGAAGAAAGCGUAAAUCCUUUUCAGAGCAAAGCAGACUCAGUGUAGGCCCUCAGGACUCCACUGAUUAAAUGUCAGCAAACUUGAGCACACGCACACACACCUUGUGAUCGGAGUGGGCAUGAUUAGGUGCCCCAGCGAGUGCAGGCGUCCAGUACUCAGACACAGUAUAUGUGAUAAUGCGUGAAGUGUGUAAAGAAAUACAAAAUGGAAUAAAAAUUAGUAAUGAAAACCGAAGUGUCACAGUGAUCCACUUAGAACUUUCAGAAAUGAAAAAAAAAGUUGAAAUAAAAAACUCAGUACUUGUGGAUUAGACAGAUUAAACAUGACUGAAGGCAGAAGUAGUGAACUGGAAUAUAUCCCUAAAGAGGCUCUCCCGGGUGCAGCCGGGAGACGGGAGAUGGGAAGUGGCACUCAGAGAAGUGGAGGGUGAGGUGCGUGUCCUGAAAAACACAGUUGGAGCCCAGGAUGGAAAAGUGGGAAGAGGAGGAGAGCCGUUACGCAAAGUGUUAGUAGCUUUGACUCAGCGAGAGAGAGAGAGCGUAGCUUUAGAAAGCACUCUGUGUCCUAAGCAGUGUAAACAGGAGGAAACCCCGAGCUCCCCCUGUGUCGCAACGGGAGCGGUGAUGUCGGCAGCGCUGGGAUGCAGCUUCAAUCCCCAGCCUGGCACAGUGGGUUAAAGAUCCCCGGCAUUGCCACAGCUGUGGUGUAGGUCGAACUGUAGCUCGGAUCUGACGCCUGGCUGAGGAACUCCAAAUUCCUUGGGGAGGCCAAAAAGGAAAAAAAAAAAAAAAGGUAACUCACACUCCUACAUUGAAAUUGUACGGCAGCAAAGACAAAAAAGCCUUAAGUGAGGUUGAGCUAGGUCUCCUUAGCUUGAGUAGAGGCCGAUAGAGAGCAGAGCAGUUCCUCCGUGUGGUGAGAGAAUGUACAUUUCAGUACAUGUUGUGCGUCAGGUAUAUUUGCAGAAGAACAGCACAGUUUUUCUGUGCUUUUGGUAAAUGUUGGGCUGGGUAUUUGCACAACCUACUACCCCACAUUUCCUUACCCGGUAAAAAAAAACAACUAAAAUUGUUGCAUUCAAGAAAAAAAACCAGGAGUUCCCUGGUAGCCUAGCGGUUAAGGAUUCGGCAUUAUCGCUGUUGGGGCCUGGGUUUGAUCCCUGGUCUGGGAACUUCCACGUGCCUCACGUGUGGCCAAAAGAAAAACCAAAGGACCGACAAUAGAGCAGGCAAGUUUUAGACCAAAAUGUAACAGAAUUAUAACCCAGAAGGUGAUUUAAUCAGGAUAGGAUGGACUCUGCCUUGGCCUCAGGACAUUUGUUGGUCUGGACAGAGUGUGGCUUUGAUUUCAGAGGCCUUGUUGUUCUCUGCAGGGGAGAUGUCCAGUUCUCACAGUGUGCAGAGAGCUUAAAGGGGGCUCUUCUCGGUUAAGUGGGGCCUGGCGGUCGGCGUCCUCGGAGGCAGGGUGAACUGGAAGUGUACCUCCUCACGUCAUCCCGGCCCCCACCUGGUUAUCUUUUACUAAACGUAGCCGGGGGAAAAAAGCUUGUGGCAGUGGAUGGACCUUUAAAGGGCGUGUAGCCCAGGUCUACAUUGCCUGGUAGUUCUAGGACGUGAAACAUGAAUUGAAGGUUUUCUGGUUUGGUAAUGCCUUCAAACAUCCAUGGGACCAAACUUAAAACCUCUUUGGAGGAAGUUACCAUCAUCCUAAAAUGCAAAAAAUUGGAGUUCCCACUGUGACGCAGUGGUUAACAAACGCGACUAGAAUUGAUGAGGACAGGGGUUCGAUCCCUGGCCUCGCUCAGUGGGUUAAGGAUCCAGUGUUGCCGUGAGCUGUGGUGUAGGUCACAGACGUGGCUCGGAUCCGGCGUUGCUGUGGCUGUGGUUUAGGCCGGCAGCUGUAGCUCUGAUUAGACCCCUAGCCUGGGAACCUCUGUAUGCUGUAGGUGUGGCCUUAAAAAGCAAAAAAAG